This is a long non-coding RNA of Mustela lutreola (European mink), 401 nucleotides long. RefSeq lists it as uncharacterized. NCBI's taxonomy places the organism in Eukaryota, Metazoa, Chordata, Mammalia, Carnivora, Mustelidae. The transcript is spliced from 2 exons. The record is from RefSeq and is a predicted model, not a curated record.
UGGUGAAGCUGACAAGAAGGGUAAGAGAAAGGUUACCUAUUUCACUUUCUUGCACACACCCUUCUAUCUUCUACCCUUCCCUGAACUUCUGCCUGGCACGGAGCAGCAGAGGCACAGAAUAUGAGGAACAACAAAGGAUGUGAAAACCCGACAGAAGACCAGAUUUUCAGAAAUGCGGAAGGUGCCGUGUUCAGGCAGCCUCCCACAGGCGUGCUCCGCGAUGCAGGGGACGUGGGUGUCGCUCGAGAACUUCCGGAGCACCCGCUGACGCUGACAGGCCGGGGAGAAAUGGGAAUUAUGCACUCUGGAAACCCUGGGGACAUGACAGUUAACUCGUUUACAUUGAAAGUUGAACAGAUCUGCCCCAAGUAACAGAUAAACAUAUUGACACAGAUUGUAAA